AUAUCUCUCUGUACGGGAAGGAUGAGAAGCUUCGACUAAGGUUCGAUUCGAGCGCAGCGAGAAAGCGUUGCCGCAGGCAACGACCCGAAGGGCGAAGCGCGCAGCGC
Molecule: small RNA, 107 nt
Filed under: Salmonella enterica subsp. enterica serovar Muenchen
Lineage: Bacteria; Pseudomonadati; Pseudomonadota; Gammaproteobacteria; Enterobacterales; Enterobacteriaceae
Also listed under: 2 other names
Description: partial RtT sRNA
Rfam family: RtT RNA
About the family: This family represents a bacterial cis-regulatory element known as RtT RNA. The exact function of RtT is unknown although it is thought that it may be involved in changing the cellular response in relation to amino acid starvation.
Source: RNAcentral